UAGGUUACUGCCCCUGAAUUGGUAAUUUAAAGGAAACUUUGCUGUUUUUGGUUAUUAUCUUGAAUAUUACUAUAGAUAGAAAUAAACUGUAAACAGCAAAAAUGUACAGCAAAGUAAGAUCUAAAAAUAAGUCAACAUGACCAAAAUGGUCAAUUGACCCCCUAGGGAGUUAUUGCCCUUUUUAGUCAAUUUUUAACAGUUUUCAUAAAAUUUGUAAAUUUUCACUAACAUUUUCCACUGAAUCUAUUGGGCCAAGUUCAUUAUAGAUAGAGAUAAUUGUAAGCAGCAAGAAUGUUUAGAAAAGUAAGAUCUACAAACACAUCCCCAUCACCAAAACACAAUUUUGUCAUAAAUCCAUCUGUGUCCUUUGUUUAAUAUUCACAUAGACCAAGGUGAGCGAAACAGGCUCUUUGGAGCCUCUAGUUAUUUA
Molecule: long non-coding RNA, 430 nt
Filed under: Mytilus galloprovincialis (Mediterranean mussel)
Lineage: Eukaryota; Metazoa; Mollusca; Bivalvia; Mytilida; Mytilidae
Source: RNAcentral